RNAcentral lists this ribosomal RNA (521 nucleotides) under uncultured bacterium. RNAcentral's name for it is "bacterial SSU rRNA". It matches the Rfam family "Bacterial small subunit ribosomal RNA", at positions 8 to 526 of the family's 1533-position model. The record is from RNAcentral.
AGAGUUUGAUCCUGGCUCAGAUUGAACGCUGGCGGCAUGCUUUACACAUGCAAGUCGAGCGGCAGCGCGGGGCAACCUGGCGGCGAGCGGCGAACGGGUGAGGAAUACAUCGGAACGUGCCCGAGAGUGGGGGAUAACGCCGCGAAAGCGGCGCUAAUACCGCAUAUUCUCCGAGGAGGAAAGUGGGGGACCGCAAGGCCUCACGCUCACGGAGCGGCCGAUGUCGGAUUAGCUAGUUGGUGGGGUAAAGGCUUACCAAGGCGACGAUCCGUAGCUGGUCUGAGAGGAUGAUCAGCCACACUGGGACUGAGACACGGCCCAGACUCCUACGGGAGGCAGCAGUGGGGAAUUUUGGACAAUGGGGGCAACCCUGAUCCAGCCAUGCCGCGUGCGGGAAGAAGGCCUUCGGGUUGUAAACCGCUUUUAGCCGGGAAGAAAAGGCAGCACCUAAUACGGGCUGUUCUUGACGGUACCGGCGGAAUAAGCACCGGCUAACUACGUGCCAGCCGCCGCGGUAAUUC